GUGCUCACUUCAGCAGCACAUGUACUAAAAUUGGAACGAUACAGAGAAGAUUAGCAUGGCCUUUGCACAAGGAUGACACACCAAUUUGUGAAGUGUUCCAUGUUCUU
This is a small nuclear RNA of Cynocephalus volans (Philippine flying lemur), 107 nucleotides long. The record is from RefSeq and is a predicted model, not a curated record. NCBI's taxonomy places the organism in Eukaryota, Metazoa, Chordata, Mammalia, Dermoptera, Cynocephalidae.